This 1435-nucleotide ribosomal RNA is filed under the name uncultured Alphaproteobacteria bacterium. RNAcentral's name for it is "bacterial SSU rRNA". It matches the Rfam family "Bacterial small subunit ribosomal RNA". The record is from RNAcentral. Lineage: Bacteria; Pseudomonadati; Pseudomonadota; Alphaproteobacteria.
AGAGUUUGAUCAUGGCUCAGAACGUACGCUGGCGGCACGCCUAACACAUGCAAGUCGAACGAAGUAGCAAUACUUAGUGGCAGACGGGUGAGUAACAUGUAGGUAUCUGCCCUUUGGCCUGGAAUAACACGAGGAAACUUGUGCUAAUACCGGAUAAGUCUUUACGGAGAAAGCUUUAUGCACCAUUGGAUGAGCCUGCACUUGAUUAGUUUGUUGGUGGGGUAAUGGCCUACCAAGACUGUGAUCAAUAGCUGAUUUGAGAGGAUGAUCAGCCACAUUGGGACUGAGACACGGCCCAAACUCCUACGGGAGGCAGCAGUGGGGAAUCUUGCACAAUGGAGGAAACUCUGAUGCAGCGAUGCCGCGUGAGUGAAGAAGGCCUUUGGGUUGUAAAGCUCUUUCGUCGGGGAAGAAAAUGACUGUACCCGAAUAAGAAGGUCCGGCUAACUUCGUGCCAGCAGCCGCGGUAAUACGAAGGGACCUAGCGUAGUUCGGAAUUACUGGGCUUAAAGAGUUCGUAGGUGGUUGAAAAAGUUGGUGGUGAAAUCCCAGAGCUUAACUCUGGAACUGCCAUCAAAACUUUUCAGCUAGAGUAUGAUAGAGGAAAGCAGAAUUUCUAGUGUAGAGGUGAAAUUCGUAGAUAUUAGAAAGAAUACCAAUUGCGAAGGCAGCUUUCUGGAUCAUUACUGACACUGAGGAACGAAAGCAUGGGUAGCGAAGAGGAUUAGAUACCCUCGUAGUCCAUGCCGUAAACGAUGUGUGUUAGACGUUGGAAAUUUAUUUUCAGUGUCGCAGCGAAAGCGAUAAACACACCGCCUGGGGAGUACGACCGCAAGGUUAAAACUCAAAUGAAUUGACGGGGACCCGCACAAGUAGUGGAGCAUGUGGUUUAAUUCGAAGAUACGCGCAGAACCUUACCAACACUUGACAUGUUCGUCGCGACUCUAAGAGAUUAGAGUUUUCGGUUCGGCCGGACGAAACACAGGUGCUGCAUGGCUGUCGUCAGCUCGUGUCGUGAGAUGUUGGGUUAAGUCCCGCAACGAGCGCAACCCUCACUUUUAGUUGCCAUCAUUAAGUUGGGCACUCUGAAAGAACUGCCAGUGAUAAGCUGGAGGAAGGUGGGGAUGACGUCAAGUCCUCAUGGCCCUUACGUGUUGGGCUACACACGUGCUACAAUGGUAUCUACAACAGGAAGCAAAACUGCGAGGUUAAGCAAAUCCUUAAAAGAUACCUCAGUUCGGAUUGCACUCUGCAACUCGAGUGCAUGAAGCUGGAAUUACUAGUAAUCGUGGAUCAGCGUGCCACGGUGAAUGCGUUCCCGGGUCUUGUACACACCGCCCGUCACACCAUGGGAGUUGGUUCUACCUUAAGGCAAGGUUUAAAACCCUUGACCACGGUAUAGUCAGCGACUGGGGUGAAGUCGUAACAAGGUAAA